ACGCUGGCGGCGUGCCUAAUACAUGCAAGUAGAACGCUGAAGCUUGGUGCUUGCACCGAGCGGAUGAGUUGCGAACGGGUGAGUAACGCGUAGGUAACCUGCCUCUUAGCGGGGGAUAACUAUUGGAAACGAUAGCUAAUACCGCAUAAAAGUCGAUAUCGCAUGAUGUUGAUUUGAAAGGUGCAAUUGCAUCACUAAGAGAUGGACCUGCGUUGUAUUAGCUAGUUGGUGAGGUAACGGCUCACCAAGGCGACGAUACAUAGCCGACCUGAGAGGGUGAUCGGCCACACUGGGACUGAGACACGGCCCAGACUCCUACGGGAGGCAGCAGUAGGGAAUCUUCGGCAAUGGGGGCAACCCUGACCGAGCAACGCCGCGUGAGUGAAGAAGGUUUUCGGAUCGUAAAGCUCUGUUGUAAGAGAAGAACGAGUGUGAGAGUGGAAAGUUCACACUGUGACGGUAACUUACCAGAAAGGGACGGCUAACUACGUGCCAGCAGCCGCGGUAAUACGUAGGUCCCGAGCGUUAUCCGGAUUUAUUGGGCGUAAAGCGAGCGCAGGCGGUUAGAUAAGUCUGAAGUUAAAGGCUGUGGCUUAACCAUAGUACGCUUUGGAAACUGUUUAACUUGAGUGCAGAAGGGGAGAGUGGAAUUCCAUGUGUAGCGGUGAAAUGCGUAGAUAUAUGGAGGAACACCGGUGGCGAAAGCGGCUCUCUGGUCUGUAACUGACGCUGAGGCUCGAAAGCGUGGGGAGCAAACAGGAUUAGAUACCCUGGUAGUCCACGCCGUAAACGAUGAGUGCUAGGUGUUGGGUCCUUUCCGGGACUCAGUGCCGCAGCUAACGCAUUAAGCACUCCGCCUGGGGAGUACGACCGCAAGGUUGAAACUCAAAGGAAUUGACGGGGGCCCGCACAAGCGG
RNAcentral lists this ribosomal RNA (917 nucleotides) under uncultured bacterium. RNAcentral's name for it is "bacterial SSU rRNA". It matches the Rfam family "Bacterial small subunit ribosomal RNA", at positions 33 to 932 of the family's 1533-position model. The record is from RNAcentral.